CUGUCUCUUGUAGUUGACCAAUGAAACUGAUCUUGUAGUCCAAAAGCUACAAUAAAAACACCAGACGAGAAGACCCUGUGGAGCUUCAAACCAAAACCAAAUUAAUGGCCCCCUUGGUUUUUAGUUGGGGCAACUUCGGAGUAUACACCAACCUCCGACAAAAAACUAAGACAAACAAGUCUAAACAAUUUACUCGACCCAAUAGUUUACAAUAAACUACUUGACCAAUGAACCAAGUUACCCCAGGGAUAACAGCGCUAUCCCCUUUUAGAGUCCCUAUCGACAAGGGGGCUUACGACCUCGAUGUUGGAUCAGGACACCA
RNAcentral lists this ribosomal RNA (322 nucleotides) under Mesalina guttulata. RNAcentral's name for it is "partial 16S ribosomal RNA". It matches the Rfam family "Bacterial large subunit ribosomal RNA", at positions 2016 to 2547 of the family's 2925-position model. The record is from RNAcentral. Lineage: Eukaryota; Metazoa; Chordata; Lepidosauria; Squamata; Lacertidae.